Molecule: ribosomal RNA, 421 nt
Filed under: Alectorobius cerradoensis
Lineage: Eukaryota; Metazoa; Arthropoda; Arachnida; Ixodida; Argasidae
Description: Ornithodoros sp. 1 SML-2020 partial large subunit ribosomal RNA
Source: RNAcentral
GGUAUUUUGACUAUACGAAGGUAUUGAAAUAAGGUUUUUAUUGGAUGCUAAGAGAAUGGUUAUACAGGGAUUGACUUUCUUGUGAUUUAAAAUAGAAUUUGAUUUAAAAGUGAAAAAGCUUUUAUGUUUUUUUGGGACAAGAAGACCCUAUGAAUUUUUUUUAUAAUGUUGUUUGGUAUUUAUUAAAAUAAAUAAAAUAUUUUUAUAAAUUGAUUGGGGUGAUUUUUAAAAUGAAUAACUUUAAAAUAGAAGGAAUUAGAACCAAAAAUUUUGGUUAAUUGAAUAAAAUACUCUAGGGAUAACAGCGUAAUUAUUUUGGAUAGUUCAUAUAGAUAAAAUAGUUUGCGACCUCGAUGUUGGAUUAAGAUACUUAUAUAAUGUAGCAGUUAUAUUAAGGAGUUUGCUCAACUUUUGAAAUCUU